Molecule: ribosomal RNA, 253 nt
Filed under: uncultured bacterium
Lineage: Bacteria
Description: partial 16S ribosomal RNA
Rfam family: Bacterial small subunit ribosomal RNA
Source: RNAcentral
GACGAACCGUGCGAACGUUGUUCGGAAUCACUGGGCUUAAAGGGCGCGUAGGCGGGCCCGCAAGUCAGGGGUGAAAUCCCACGGCUCAACCGUGGAAGUGCCUUUGAUACUGCGGGUCUGGAGGGAGGUAGGGGCGUGCGGAACUUCCGGUGGAGCGGUGAAAUGCGUAGAUAUCGGGAGGAAGGCCGGUGGCGAAGGCGGCGCUCUGGAACAUUUCUGACGCUGAGGCUCGAAAGCGUGGGGAGCAAACAGG